CCAUGUGCAAGGAAUAAGUGGAGGCGCCAAUCCAUUUGGAGUGUGUGUCAGCAUGUCUGACACGUGACUGUCUUGUCUCCUGCAUGCUGAACAAGUCACUUCUUGAUAGCUUGCAUGGUUGACACAUCACUUCGGAGUAUCUUGCAUGUCCGACGCGUCAUUUCGGAGUAGCUUGCAUGUCAGACACGUCACUCCGAACUAGCUAGCAUGUGAGACAUUUCACUCAUCUAUUUAAGUGUCUUACUAUUAACAUCCAAG
Molecule: long non-coding RNA, 258 nt
Filed under: Lathyrus oleraceus (garden pea)
Lineage: Eukaryota; Viridiplantae; Streptophyta; Magnoliopsida; Fabales; Fabaceae
Description: Pisum sativum (pea) long non-coding RNA (PSAT_LNC038940)
Source: RNAcentral